UACGAAGGGGGCUAGCGUUGCUCGGAAUCACUGGGCGGAAAGGGCGCGUAGGCGGACUCUUAAGUCGGGGGUGAAAGCCCAGGGCUAAACCCUGGAAUUGCCUUCGAUACUGAGAGUCUUGAGUUCGGAAGAGGUUGGUGGAACUGCGAGUGUAGAGGUGAAAUUCGUAGAUAUUCGCAAGAACACCAGUGGCGAAGGCGGCCAACUGGUCCGAUACUGACGCUGAGGCGCGAAAGCGUGGGGAGCAAACAGG
Molecule: ribosomal RNA, 253 nt
Filed under: uncultured bacterium
Lineage: Bacteria
Description: partial 16S ribosomal RNA
Rfam family: Bacterial small subunit ribosomal RNA
Source: RNAcentral